RNAcentral lists this microRNA precursor (71 nucleotides) under Myotis brandtii (Brandt's bat). RNAcentral's name for it is "mir-9193 microRNA precursor family". It matches the Rfam family "mir-9193 microRNA precursor family". The record is from Rfam by way of RNAcentral. Lineage: Eukaryota; Metazoa; Chordata; Mammalia; Chiroptera; Vespertilionidae.
CUUGCGGGGGUGUCCCUCAGCCCAGAUUGCAAGAGGGUGCAGGCCAGGCCAAGGGACCCCACCAGUGCAGG